Molecule: transfer RNA, 70 nt
Filed under: Loxodonta africana (African savanna elephant)
Lineage: Eukaryota; Metazoa; Chordata; Mammalia; Proboscidea; Elephantidae
Rfam family: tRNA
About the family: Transfer RNA (tRNA) molecules are approximately 80 nucleotides in length. Their secondary structure includes four short double-helical elements and three loops (D, anti-codon, and T loops). Further hydrogen bonds mediate the characteristic L-shaped molecular structure. tRNAs have two regions of fundamental functional importance: the anti-codon, which is responsible for specific mRNA codon recognition, and the 3' end, to which the tRNAs corresponding amino acid is attached (by aminoacyl-tRNA synthetases). tRNAs cope with the degeneracy of the genetic code in two manners: having more than one tRNA (with a specific anti-codon) for a particular amino acid; and 'wobble' base-pairing, i.e. permitting non-standard base-pairing at the 3rd anti-codon position.
Source: Rfam by way of RNAcentral
GCAAGGGAGGCUCAGUGUAGAAUUCUCGCCUUCCAUGCGGGAGACCUGGGUUCAAUUCCCAGCCAGUCCA